CUACGGGGCGCUCCAGUCGAGAAUCUUUCGCAAUGGGCGAAAGCCUGACGAAGCGACGCCGUGUGAACGAAGAAGGCCUUCGGGUUGUAAAGUUCUUUCGCUAGUGGGCAAGGGAGUAGGUUUAAUAAAUCUACAACUUGAGAGUAGCUGGUAAAGAAGCACCGGCUAACUCCGUGCCAGCAGCUGCGGUAAUACGGAGGGUGCAAGCAUAAUCGGAAUUAUUGGGCGUAAAGGGCGCGUAGGCGUCUUAUCAAGUCACUUGUGAAAUUUCAAGGCUCAACCUUGAAGCUGCGGGUGAAACUGACAAGAUGGAGUAUAGGUGGGGAAAACGGAAUUCCACAUGUAGCGGUGAAAUGCGUAGAUAUGUGGAGGAACACCGGUGGCGAAGGCGGUUUUCUAACCUAUUACUGACGCUGAGGCGCGAAAGCUAGGGGAGCAAACAGGAUUAGAUACCCCGGUAGUC
RNAcentral lists this ribosomal RNA (463 nucleotides) under uncultured bacterium. RNAcentral's name for it is "partial 16S ribosomal RNA". It matches the Rfam family "Bacterial small subunit ribosomal RNA", at positions 339 to 795 of the family's 1533-position model. The record is from RNAcentral.